UUUUGAACACUAGACACAAACUUGGACGAAAAUUGGUUUUAACUUGACCUAAGACACUUAAAAACACAAACGAAAGUGAUUUCUAACCACUAUGACUCAACCAAGAAAAGGGGGAUUGAUUUUGGACGAAUUUAACUUUUAAAACAAGAACUUUGAAAACAAACUUUGACAAAAACGUUUUUGAUAUAGAUUAGGAUGGUGAAAGGCUAGUUAGAAGGUUCCUUCUCCACACAUGAAACAUAUGCAUACGACUCGAUUUCCAAUUACUCUUUCAACAAACCAUGAAUGACAAUGCCCCAAAUUAACUAGAUUGACCAAUUAAUUCUCAGAUUUCCCUAGAUUCAUUGAAUUGAACGGGAUACGCAUUACAACCAAAUUAUUCUUAUCAAGGACCCUAACUAUGGAAUACGCAUGAUAGAGACACAUAUC
This 429-nucleotide long non-coding RNA is filed under the name Malus domestica (apple). Its description in RNAcentral is "long non-coding RNA (MDOM_LNC020854)". Lineage: Eukaryota; Viridiplantae; Streptophyta; Magnoliopsida; Rosales; Rosaceae. The record is from RNAcentral.